Apis laboriosa (Himalayan honeybee) is the source of this 1863-nucleotide long non-coding RNA. RefSeq lists it as uncharacterized. The transcript is spliced from 5 exons. The record is from RefSeq and is a predicted model, not a curated record. Lineage: Eukaryota; Metazoa; Arthropoda; Insecta; Hymenoptera; Apidae.
CAGAGUCGUACGCAUCCGCGCGAGAUCCACCAGCCAAUCAGAAAGCAUCUGCCUCUUCGACGAUUUGUGUUUGUCUCAGAAACUGUGUUCUUUGGCGGUGAUCGUGACCUCAUAAAUCUUGACCACUGAAACGACAAUUGGUAAAAGUUAUUUUAUUUGAAUUAAUAUUUAACCCUUUCAUUAGUUUUGUGUGUUGUGUAAUAUAUUCGAGUGGAAUAUGAGAAGAUACGUAUAGAUAUUCGUCGCAUGGAAUGUUAUAUAUAAGUGAAUAGUAUGUUUCAAUUGAGAUUGAACAAUAGCAAUGGGCGAAAACAUUUCAUGGAUAGGAAAAUUUGGAUCGUUGCCAGUCCCGAUUCCACUCUUCUUAUCCUGUACACCGCGACAUUACUUUCAACAUCUUGCCGUAUUCGAGUUCUUUACCGUCUUUCCACUUGAAAGUGGAAAGUGUCCGGAAGGCCAAGCUUCCAGCUUUCAUUAGUUACGUCUUCGAACAACCGACUCCCACGAGCACUUAUCGAACUGGAACGAUCGUGACUCCAUGAACUGGAAUUACAUGAACUUAUUACACUGCGCCACUUUCAAGCCGCGGACACGGAUGGUCGUUAGAAUCGGUCCGAUCUAUUGGAACUUGCCUGUAAUCUACCAGUUUGGUCCGUUUAACGGGCUCAUUACAAGUUGACGGUGGAUUGGCGGGGGUGGCACGAUGUAUGAUCAUGAAGACAACUUUAAGGAAAGUUUAUCAUUCGUCACAGGGAAGGAGAUUAUGGAGGAGAGACUCGGUUUCUGGUCGAACGAUUGAAGAGGAAAUUUGUAACGAUUUAACCAAAAUUAAGUUUGAGGAUUAUGAUGGAUGGGGAUUGUGUUCGAAAUUCGAUAUCACGUGUGGAUUUUAAUUUGUAAUGGCAUUGAUAAAUGAUGACUUACAAAAUGAUUGAUCGUAGAUCUAUAUUCAAUGAAGUUGGGACAAAAUUGUGACAAAAUUUAUUGUGAUUCGUUUCUUCGUUUUCUUUUAUUCUAUUCCCACUUUUAUUUAUUUAUUUAAUUUUUUUUUUUUUUUUUUUUUUAGGUUGUUAUGCAAACGCUAUCUAUCAAUUUUUAGUGUCCAUCAAUUUUGAAGUUCAGGUAUACAAAUAUCAAUAUUUCAUGCGAGUAUCAAAUAUAUAUAUAUAUAUAUAUAAAUCAUCAACAAUUGAAGUGAUAGCAUUCCAGCACAUCUGGUAUCUUUGGCACGACAAUACAUUUGCUUAUCAUAGUGCAGUUGAACGUGCAGUUCUGGCUAAAAGCAAAUAUCUAGUUUUUAUCCAUUCGAUGUAUUCAAUUGAUUUUGCUCCCUAUGAUUAAUCGCCAUUCCCAAGAUUUAGUAUUCUACGGAAAGGCACACCACCAAGAUGUGCAAGCAACCGCGAUGAGAAUAAUCUUGACUAAAAACAACUCGUUCAUUCAAGAAUCCACGAAUCGAAUAAUUUGGCGUUAAGAGAUAUUGUCCAAUAAAUGGUAGAAUAAAUGUGAGUACAAUUCGAACCGAUUUUCCAUUUCAAAUUUUACAUUAUAGAAAAAUUUUGUGUAUUAAUUAUAAUAUGGUAUACAUCAAAUUUCUUCAAAAUGUUUUCGUAAACGCAGAGAAGAGAAAAUCAAUAACACCCGCAUGUAAUAAAGAGAAUAUCUAUUAAAGAUAGCUAAUUAUCUUGAUUGGAUUAUCAAUACCCGCAUCUAAUCAAUUAAUUGAUGGAGGAUGUUUAAUGAGAAAGCUUCGAAUAUGGAGUUGUACCAUUGCUAUUCAAGAGCAAUAACUAUGAAAUAUUAAAAUACUUUUAUUAAUAUUUCUACCUUAUAUUAAUUUACAAGAAUAAUAAUUAAUUUGCA